This 25-nucleotide non-coding RNA is filed under the name Cricetulus griseus (Chinese hamster). The record is from RNAcentral. Lineage: Eukaryota; Metazoa; Chordata; Mammalia; Rodentia; Cricetidae.
AUAAACAACAAAGGAGAGAAGCAUG